UGGGGAAUAUUGGGCAAUGGGCGAAACCCUGACGCAGCAACGCCGCGUUAAGGAAGAAGGCUUUCGGGUUGUAAACUUAUGUCUGGUGGGAAGAUAAUGACGGUACCCCCGGAGGAAGUCACCGCUAACUACCUGCCCGCCGCCCCGGUAAUACGUAGGUGGCGAGCGUUGUCCGGAAUUACUGGGUGUAAAGGGCGCGUAGACGGGUAGAUAAGUUAGAUGUGAAAUACCGGGGCUUAACUCCGGGGCUGCCUUUAAAACUGUUUAUCUUGAGUGCAGGAGAGGGAAGCGGAAUUCCUAGUGUAGCGGUGAAAUGCGUAGAUAUUAAGAGGAACACCAGUGGCGAAGGCGGCUUUCUGGACUGUAACUGACGUUGAGGCGCGAAAGCGUGGGUAGCAAACAGGAUUAGAUACCCUGGUAGUCCACGCUGUAAACGAUGAUUACUAGGUGUGGGAGGUAUCGACUCCUUCUGUGCCGGAGUUAACACAAUAAGUAAUCCACCUGGGGAGUACGGCCGCAAGGUUGAAACUCAAAGGAAUUGACGGGGGCCCGCACAAGCAGUGGAGUAUGUGGUUUAAUUCGACGCAACGCGAAGAACCUUACCAGGACUUGACAUCCCGUGCAUAGCGUAGAGAUACGUGAAGUCCUUCGGGACACGGAGACAGGUGGUGCAUGGUUGUCGUCAGCUCGUGUCGUGAGAUGUUGGGUUAAGUCCCGCAACGAGCGCAACCCUUACUGUCAGUUACUACCAUUAAGUUGAGGACUCUGGCAGGACUGCCGGUGACAAAUCGGAGGAAGGUGGGGACGACGUCAAAUCAUCAUGCCCCUUAUGUCCUGGGCUACACACGUACUACAAUGGUGAGAACAGAGGGAAGCGAGACAGUGAUGUGGAGCAAACCGCGAAAUCUCAUCUCAGUUCAGAUUGCAGGCUGCAACUCGCCUGCAUGAAGUCGGAAUUGCUAGUAAUCGCGGAUCAGCAUGCCGCGGUGAAUACGUUCCC
This 1000-nucleotide ribosomal RNA is filed under the name uncultured bacterium. Its description in RNAcentral is "bacterial SSU rRNA". It matches the Rfam family "Bacterial small subunit ribosomal RNA", at positions 355 to 1375 of the family's 1533-position model. The record is from RNAcentral.